Long non-coding RNA from Nicotiana tabacum (common tobacco), 658 nucleotides. RefSeq lists it as uncharacterized. The record is from RefSeq and is a predicted model, not a curated record. NCBI's taxonomy places the organism in Eukaryota, Viridiplantae, Streptophyta, Magnoliopsida, Solanales, Solanaceae.
UACUAAGCAACACUUCUAAAACGUUCUCUUUUAAUAGAAAGGGCACACCGCUUAAGUGCUGCCAAAUCAUGGGACAUACGUCCGUUGGAAUCCCAAAUUGAUCUAUCAGCAAAUUUCUCACUUGAAGGAUUAGGGCUUACUACCAUUGUUUGAAAUGUGGUUGCACAUUAAAAAUUGACAAACCCAAAUUAAUCUGUCAAUUAAAGAUAGCUCGUUGAUAAAAUUAUUAGAGUUAGGGCUCCAUCAAAGAGUUAGGGCUUAAAACCGAAGCGCACAAAUCAAGCAUUGAAGUUUGUUGUUCAGUAAGCUGCGGUGAUGGGAAGGAGUGAGAUUGACACAGGUAUUCGGACAAAUCUGACACUUUUUCAUUCACUUAAAGCAACAUACUUUUGUUGUUUAGAAACUUAGGAAUUUUUUGGCGAUGUUCUGAAAAUGGUGGCGAGAAGUCGAUUUCAUAUGUUUAAAGUUAUUGAUCAAGACAAUUGAAAAAUUGUGAUGUUUAUUAACCAUGAUACUAAAUGAAUAUGUUCAGUUUUGUAAACCAUAUUGCUAGAAUGCACAUUGAAAUAUUUGGCUUUGUUAGUUAAUGUAGUAUACGAAAUGUUUGUUUUUCGAGGUUCAUUGUAAUAAAUUUGAAAUUUUUUUCUUAUUUAUUUAA